CCCACAGAAUCAGUGGGAUUUAUCUACAUGUUGACUCACCAUUCAACAGUUGAUUGAAUGGACCUCUGUAGUUCUGACUAACCAGAGAGAUGCCAGACUCUGACUGAGUCUAUCCUGUCCUGUCAUUUGUCUGCUUAAAAUGGCUUUCCCUCAUUACCUUUCAUUGUCAUGGAUAGAUCACUACUUGGGAAAAUUUGAUUCACUAAAAAUCAGCCUUUGCAAGAGAGGGGAACUGGUUAAGAUGAUCUGUCCCAAAAGGAUGUAGGUGAUUUCCUCACGGCUCUUGGGGAUUUUCCUGUCAUCUCAACAGGCUAUUGUGCUGAAAUCCUGGUUGAACCUUGGAAGGGAAAAAUGGCUAGGCUUUGGACAAAGAACAGACCUUACAACUCAGAAGAGUACCUCUACAGAUGACAUGAUUGCCCUAACACAUGUACUGGUUGCCAUAAGGAUCCUCUGAUCAUCAACCAUUAGUCAGAAGAAGGCAGCUUUAAAAGGACAAGAAGAGCUCUUUUGAAGGCACCAAUAAGAAAAGAUGCCCCUAGGGUCAGUAGGGACCACCUCCAUGUAAUUCUAUGAAAGUACCAUUUUCUGAAGGCAAAGGCCAAAGUGAAGAAGAUUGGCCAAAGAAGGUUGCAGAGGUAGCUGUUCAACAAUCAAAUUGGGGCAAACUAGCUGACUGUCAGCAUUGAUCAAGAGAUUUGGAGCAAACUAUGCCGAUGACACCAACUGUACUUUCCUGUUACAUCUUAAUCAGUAGCCAUAGCUGGAUGAAGUGGUGGAUGGAUGAGGGCCAAUAAAUUAAGGCAGAAUUCUGCAAGACGAGGC
Molecule: long non-coding RNA, 825 nt
Organism: Sceloporus undulatus (fence lizard)
Lineage: Eukaryota; Metazoa; Chordata; Lepidosauria; Squamata; Phrynosomatidae
Exons: 4
Source: RefSeq, a predicted model, not a curated record